This 776-nucleotide ribosomal RNA is filed under the name uncultured Neocallimastigales. RNAcentral describes it as "partial large subunit ribosomal RNA". It matches the Rfam family "Eukaryotic large subunit ribosomal RNA", at positions 26 to 629 of the family's 3401-position model. The record is from RNAcentral. Lineage: Eukaryota; Fungi; Neocallimastigomycota; Neocallimastigomycetes; Neocallimastigales.
CGCAUCUGUGCAUGCAGCAUAUCAAUAAGCGGAGGAAAAGAAACUAACAAGGAUUCCCUUAGUAACGGCGAGUGAAGCGGGAAGAGCUCAAAUUUGAAAUCUUCAAGGUUUUACCUUGACGAAUUGUAGUUUAAAGAAGUGUUUUCUGUUGAAGUUUUGGUAAAAGUUCUUUGGAAUAGGACAUCAUAGAGGGUGAGAAUCCCGUAUUUGACCAUUAUUUUCAGCUGUGUGAUACACUUUCAAAGAGUCGGAUUGUUUGGGAAUGCAGUCCAAAAUGGGUGGUAAAUUUCAUCUAAAGCUAAAUAUUGGCGAGAGGACCGAUAGCGAACAAGUACCGUGAGGGAAAGAUGAAAAGAACUUUGAAAAGAGAGUUAAACAGUACGUGAAAUUGUCAAAAGGGAAGCGUUUCGACACCAGUGUUGUUUUCUCGAAAAUCAAUUAAAAAGAGUUAGAUUUUGUUGUGUAUUGACCUUAACAGCUUGCAUUUCAAUUUUCUUGCUUUUUUUAAUGCACUUUUCGUUUAACAAGUCAACAUCAGUUUCUUUUGUUGUAAAAAGGUCAUUGGAAGGUGGCUUUCUUUUCGGAGAAAGUGUUUAUAGCCUUUGACUCCUGCAAUCGGAGAGACUGAGGUCUGCAGCGUAGAUCCUUCGGGGUUAGAUACAUUUGUGCUAAGUUAUAGCUUUUUAUAGACAACUUGUUGACUAUGAUUAGUCUUGUAGCUUACUCGCUUAUGCUAUUUUACCUACGCUUAGGAUGUUGAUGUGAUACUGCGAGCA